This 425-nucleotide ribosomal RNA is filed under the name uncultured bacterium. RNAcentral describes it as "partial 16S ribosomal RNA". It matches the Rfam family "Bacterial small subunit ribosomal RNA", at positions 354 to 796 of the family's 1533-position model. The record is from RNAcentral.
GUGGGGAAUAUUGCACAAUGGGGGAAACCCUGAUGCAGCAACGCCGCGUGAGUGAUGAAGGCCUUCGGGUUGUAAAGCUCUGUCUUUGGGGACGAUAAUGACGGUACCCAAGGAGGAAGCCACGGCUAACUACGUGCCAGCAGCCGCGGUAAUACGUAGGUGGCAAGCGUUGUCCGGAUUUACUGGUCGUAAAGGGUGCGUAGGUGGAUAUUUAAGUGGGAUGUGUAAUCCCCGGGCUUAACCUGGGGGGUGCAUUCCAAACUGGAUGACUAGAGUGCAGAAGAGGAGAGUGGAAUUCCUAGUGUAGCGGUGAAAUGCGUAGAGAUUAGGAAGAACACCAGUGGCGAAGGCGACUCUCUGGUCUGUAACUGACACUGAGGCUCGAAAGCGUGGGGAGCAAACAGGAUUAGAAACCCUAGUAGUCC